Molecule: transfer RNA, 75 nt
Filed under: Vibrio parahaemolyticus VP2007-095
Lineage: Bacteria; Pseudomonadati; Pseudomonadota; Gammaproteobacteria; Vibrionales; Vibrionaceae
Description: tRNA-Val
Rfam family: tRNA
About the family: Transfer RNA (tRNA) molecules are approximately 80 nucleotides in length. Their secondary structure includes four short double-helical elements and three loops (D, anti-codon, and T loops). Further hydrogen bonds mediate the characteristic L-shaped molecular structure. tRNAs have two regions of fundamental functional importance: the anti-codon, which is responsible for specific mRNA codon recognition, and the 3' end, to which the tRNAs corresponding amino acid is attached (by aminoacyl-tRNA synthetases). tRNAs cope with the degeneracy of the genetic code in two manners: having more than one tRNA (with a specific anti-codon) for a particular amino acid; and 'wobble' base-pairing, i.e. permitting non-standard base-pairing at the 3rd anti-codon position.
Source: RNAcentral
GGGGAUUAGCUCAGUUGGGAGAGCACCUGCCUUACAAGCAGGGGGUCACUGGUUCGAGCCCGGUAUCGCCCACCA